UCUGGUAUGAAAGGUUUGACGAAAUAUUAACUGUUUCAUAAAUAUUUAUAUUAGAAUUUUAUUUUUUAGUCAAAAAGCUAAAAUAAAUUUAAAAGACGAGAAGACCCUAUAAAUCUUUAUAUUUAUGUUAUUAUAAUUUUAUAGAUUUUUUAUAUUUUAAUAAUUUAUAAUAUUUGAUUGGGGUGAUAUUAAAAUUUAAUAAACUUUUAGUUUUUAAAAUCAUUAAUUUAUGAAUAAUUGAUCCGUUAUUAACGAUUAAAAAUUUAAGUUACCUUAGGGAUAACAGCGA
Molecule: ribosomal RNA, 289 nt
Filed under: Hydrotaea spinigera
Lineage: Eukaryota; Metazoa; Arthropoda; Insecta; Diptera; Muscidae
Description: partial 16S ribosomal RNA
Source: RNAcentral